GUAGGGUGUACCAUCUAGUUCAGAAGAGAAGAAAGAGUAAAGUUAGGAUUUUGAAGAAUGUGUUUUGAAAUAUAUCAGAUUAUGCCCAUAUGUUUUCAAAUACUUUAUGAUGAUACGUUUUAUGAAAUGCUCUCAACUACGUUGUAUAAAAAUGUAUUUUGUUUUUGGAUUGCUCUUCAUACCAGUACAUUUAUAUUGACCCCCUAUAUUUCAAGAUCUGAGGCUCAGUCCCG
Molecule: long non-coding RNA, 233 nt
Filed under: Capsicum annuum
Lineage: Eukaryota; Viridiplantae; Streptophyta; Magnoliopsida; Solanales; Solanaceae
Description: long non-coding RNA (CANN_LNC001434)
Source: RNAcentral